Molecule: ribosomal RNA, 561 nt
Filed under: uncultured Gammaproteobacteria bacterium
Lineage: Bacteria; Pseudomonadati; Pseudomonadota; Gammaproteobacteria
Description: bacterial SSU rRNA
Rfam family: Bacterial small subunit ribosomal RNA
Source: RNAcentral
GAAAGGUGCGAGCGUUAAUCGGAAUUACUGGGCGUAAAGCGCGCGUAGGCGGUUCGUUAAGUCAGAUGUGAAAGCCCCGGGCUUAACCUGGGAACUGCACCUGAUACUGGCGAGCUAGAGUGCAGUAGAGGGAGGUGGAAUUCCAGGUGUAGCGGUGAAAUGCGUAGAGAUCUGGAGGAACACCAGUGGCGAAGGCGGCCUCCUGGACUGACACUGACGCUGAGGUGCGAAAGCGUGGGUAGCAAACAGGAUUAGAUACCCUGGUAGUCCACGCCGUAAACGCUGUCUACUAGCCGUUGGGUCCCUUCGUGGACUUUGGUGGCGCAGCUAACGCGAUAAGUAGACCGCCUGGGGAGUACGGCCGCAAGGUUAAAACUCAAAUGAAUUGACGGGGGCCCGCACAAGCGGUGGAGCAUGUGGUUUAAUUCGAUGCAACGCGAAGAACCUUACCAGGCCUUGACAUCCUCGGAACUUUCUAGAGAUAGAUUGGUGCCUUCGGGAGCCGAGUGACAGGUGCUGCAUGGCCGUCGUCAGCUCGUGUCGUGAGAUGUUGGGUUAAGU